This is a long non-coding RNA of Poecilia latipinna (sailfin molly), 3950 nucleotides long. RefSeq lists it as uncharacterized. Lineage: Eukaryota; Metazoa; Chordata; Actinopteri; Cyprinodontiformes; Poeciliidae. The transcript has 2 exons. The record is from RefSeq and is a predicted model, not a curated record.
CAUAUGUUUACCAGCGUCUCGUUUUGGGCGAUAAGGGGUGAGGGGGAGUGGGAGGGGGCCUUUGUGCACAGAGGGGCCCUCCGUUCAUUUUAAUAAGAUCUUCGUUACGAAUAUAUUUAGAUAACCUGAGCAUAUUAAGUUCGUUUAGUAGCAGUGUGUUUAUGUGUGUUUGGGAGGGGAUAACUCUGCAGUUCCCGUGGUUUUGAUAAUAGCUUAAUGCGGAUGGUGUCAUGUGGAGGAGAGCGGCCUGGGAUGGAGCUUGAGGCCGAGCUGAGGAUGCAGGGAGCCGCGGAGGAGGAGGAAGAGGAGGAAGAUGGUUCUUUUUUGUUUGUGUUUUAGGACGGGAGCGGGAGGGGCGGAUGUUUGCGACAGAAGGAAAUGAAUUAAGCGUGAGCUCAUCAAAUGGAUAACGACUGACAAUCACGAUUAUUGGUUAUUGAUUUUCAGCUUUCUGGGGGUUCUUAAGAUUUCCUAGGAAUACCUUUAUUUUAUAGGAGAGAUGGCUGGCAUCAAAUUAAGAGUAUCCUCUUGUUUUAAAACUGAUUUGAUUCCUUUAUUUUUCAAAAAUGUCUUGGAAAUAAAAUAAUUUAGACUCAUUGUGUCACAUAAUAACCACACACUUCAGGGUAUUUUAUUUUGAUUUUAUGUGACAGACUGAUAUAAAGUCAGUCAGAUGGAGCUAAAUAAAGAACAAGGAGUAGGUUCACAACCAGAAUUACAGAGGAAUUGUUUGGAUCAAACCAUUAUUGUGUCAGAAUGGCCUAGUCAAAUAUCUAACUGAAAAUCUGUAACAAUACUCCCUCCCUCCAGUCUGACUGCUUUCCAAAGAAUCUUGGGUAAUAAUUUCAGUACAUGUUCAACAGUCGUGGAGACAAACAUCAAACUAUUAGCAGUUGUUAUAGCAACAAAAGGUGGAAUCACAUAUAACACAAAGAAAAUCUUUUGAAAUUUACUGCUGUACUGAGAUACAAUGUGAUCAAGUUUGAACACCCGAACAAGGCAAUGUGUUUUAGCUAUUUUCUUUAUAUUUGUACACUCAAGCCUAAAGACAAUUCAGAGAGACCAGUUGACCUAAAAUCAUGUUUUUGGCCUGUGGAAAGAAGCUGGAGUUCCCAGAGAGAUUGUUGUUGGCUUCUAUUCCUCGAUCUGCUAUUUGAGAACUGACCACAGUCUCACAACACAGUUAAGAUUAGGUUGAGUUUCUUGACCACUAAGGUCUUUUGCUUGAAAGUACACAGAAGGUUCCUUUGAAGGAUCGGUUUCUAUCCAGACAAAUAAUUUUCCAGGUUUAUUGGAGGACAUGACCCUGUUAGUCUCUUCUUCUGAUCGGUCUUGUACUUAGUGGAGAAUUCCAGUCAGUCCUUGACAUUUUUCUUAGAUAUAAGGGAAUUCUUUGCGACCCAAAAUUGUUGUGAAAAUGUCUUUGCCGUGCUGUGUGCCGAUUCCCUCAAAUCCACUAACUGUCAAUAUUGAGCAAGCGCUGCAGUGGUGAUAACCCAGCUCUGGAUCUCAUGUGGACACUUUCACAUCCUUAGGAUUGCGUGGUGCCCUGUUGUGCCUGUCUAAAAAAGACUGAUUUUUAAAGUUUACGCAGCUCUUUGCUACAAAUUAAUAUGGAUCUGAUCAGUCUGUGAUUACCUCAAGCUGAAAAUUUUACAAAGAUUUUGGUCACAACUGCUAGAUGUGUCCAGAAUGCAAAAAAAUUAGACAUGAUUAAAAUGUUGACAGAUGCACAUGUUUUUGCUGUAAUGGGGCAGUGUCCUAGAAAGUUGUGAAUUGGGUCACAUCUGUAUUUUCCAUCUGAACACAAAACAUGUUUAUUUAAUGAGCUGCUGCUCAGAGUUAAGAGGCUAAUUCAGCUGUGGGAACUAGUGGAUCCGUAAAAUGCACGACACUAGCAACAAUUAAGAUAGUAAAGAUGUGGAACAAAGAAAGGUCUUGAAUUCUUGAAGGAACAUUUAAAAAAUUCAACUUUCAAUUUGAAUGGACUCUUUCCAUUGAGUGGACAAAUCUGUGAAGAGAAAACUUUAAACAAAAAUCCUUGCUGGCACAUUCAUAGAUACCUUUGUUGUCAGCAUUUUGUACAACUUUCUUUUCCCAACAGAACAGCAUUUUGUACAGUCAGACCACAGAGAGAUGGGAGAGUUGUGCUUUUUCUCUUUCCACAAUCUUAUUUUUUUAUAUAUAGAAAGAGAAACAGAAGGUAGAUUGUGACAGUUAUCGGUUAUUUUGUUUCACAGCAGAGUAGAUGACUACUGGGUGUCUAGUGUUCAUUGUGUGCAUCAGAGAAACAGCCUGGAGUGAGAAACUGUCUCUGUGAUGCCUCUCAAUUGCUGACUGGAAGGGAAAAGUCUAAACAGUCCAAGAUGUGUGAGAUCUGUGGGAAGAUGGUCGCUAUCCGUUUCCUGACGCUAGAGCUGUACAAGUCCUGGACGGAGGAAAGGUCAAACCUGGCGAUCCUCUCUGAAGACCCGAUUGUUUGAUCCAGGUUUGUCCCAUCGUGUUUUAUGAAUGAGCCAAGCCACACAGACACAUUGAAUAUUGGCAGUGUGGAAGAUGGCCACCGGCCGCACUGUACUGUACUUCUUGAGCUGCUGCAGGUGGUACGAUCUCUGCUGGGCCUUCUUCCAGACUGUGUCUGUGAGUGAGGACCGUCUCAGGUCCAGAGUAAGGACUGAGGAUGGUGAAGACUCGUCAUUGACCUGGAUCAGACCAAUCACAGUGAUGUCAUCUGGAAACUUCAGGUGUUUUAUAGACAGGUCUGCUGAGUUGCGGUCAUGUGCACAGAGAGAAGAGGAGUGGGGGGAGAACACACCCUGAGGGGUGCCAGUGCUGAUGGUUCUUGCGCAGGAGAAAAUAUUCCACAGCCUCACCUGCUGCUGCUGAUCGGUCAGGAAGCUGGUCAUCCACUAACAGGAUGGGGCUGGCAUUGUGAGCUUCUGGUGGAGGAAGUCUGAGUUGAUCAUGCUGAAGACUGAGCUAAAGCCCACAAACACUAUCCUGGCGUAUGUUGAGUCAUCUAUUGACUGGCUGCCAAGCAAACUGCAAGGGGCAUGUGAUGUCCUGCAAAUGCUAACAUCAGUCACUCAAAGGAUUUCAUGACCACAAGCAUCAGUUCAACAGGUCUGUAGUCGUUUAAUCCUGUUAUGGUCCAUUUUGGGGGGCUCAGGUUGAUGGUGGUGUCCUUGAAGAAAGAGGGAACCUCGGGAACCUCACACAGCUUCAGAGACUUGCUGAAGAUCUGAGUGAGGAUGGGGGCAAGUUGGUCAGCACUGGCUCUCAAGCAGAAAAUGGACAUUCCUGGACUGUUAGCUUAGAAAUAGUCCUUUAGCUUCUCACUGUAGCAUCUCUUAGCUGCCCAGAUCUCCUUGGUCAGUCUGUUCCUGGCCUGCUCAUGCAGGAUCCACUCUGCCCUGAUGUUAUCCUCUUUGGUUUGACACAGCUUUAGCUGAUGUGAAGUGAAUCAUGGUUUAUUGCAGUGGUAGACACCACUAACUAAAAAGUUAGAUACGCUAACCUUAACUUACUAAUUAGUAUUUGUUUCACUAAAGUACUACACCAACAUGAUAUUUAGCAGAAACUAAUGCACUAAACUCAGCCAUGUGUCAAUGACGCAACAUGUGUCACCUACAACAUACUGUAUUACUCAACAGAUACUUGGUCAGGUUUAGGGUCCAAUUAGCUCUCCAUAUGGGGACAAGUUGGAACUUUAUUUUUCCUAAUAGAUAAAGUCAGAUCACAAAUCUGUGUGUAGACAAAUACUUCUUAUGCUGAUGGUAUAUGGCUCAUAUCCCUACAUAUUAAGAGCUACUUUACUUCCUAAUAGGACAAAAAUGUUGCCUUGAGAAACAAAGUCUAAUGCAGAGGUUCCCAAACUGUGGGGCGCGCCCCUUAGGGGGGGCGCUGUGCCAUUGCAGGUGGGGCGCGGGAAGCCGUCUGGAUAAAACAAA